UUUUUUAAAUUGCUGUGGUAUUUUGACUAUACGAAGGUAUUGAAAUAAGAUUUUAAAUGGGUGCUAAGAGAAUGGAUGAAUGAGAAUUAACUUUUUUUAUAAAAUUAUUAAAAUUUAAAUUAAAAAUUAAAAUGUUUUUAUAGAAUUAUGGGACAAGAAGACCCUAGAACCUUAAUUUUAGAAAUAAAAUUUAAUUGGGGCAAUUUAAAAAUAAUAAGUAAUUUUUUAAAGAAAGUUGUAAAAAAAUAUUUGGAAGGUACUUUAGGGAUAACAGCGUUAUUAUUUUGGAGAGUUCAUAUUGAUAAAAUAGUUUGCGACCUCGAUGUUGAAUUAAUGAGUCUUUUUGGUGUAGGAGUUAAAAAAGAGAGAUUGUUCAUCUUUUAAAUCAUUACUUGAUCUGAGUUCAGACCGGA
Molecule: ribosomal RNA, 413 nt
Filed under: Chiasmanyssus cavernicola
Lineage: Eukaryota; Metazoa; Arthropoda; Arachnida; Mesostigmata; Macronyssidae
Description: partial large subunit ribosomal RNA
Rfam family: Bacterial large subunit ribosomal RNA (bases 151-413)
Source: RNAcentral